This 426-nucleotide long non-coding RNA is filed under the name Carica papaya (papaya). RNAcentral describes it as "long non-coding RNA (CPAP_LNC005552)". The record is from RNAcentral. Lineage: Eukaryota; Viridiplantae; Streptophyta; Magnoliopsida; Brassicales; Caricaceae.
UUUUAAUCUGGACCGUCCAUCGUGUUUGAUCUCGAUUGUUUGAUCGCAUUUAAAGAGGAAAUGAAUCUGGAUUGUUCAUUGCGAUUUGAUCUGGACCGUACGAUUCCGUUUAAAGAGAAAACAAAUCUUGGCUGUUCAUCACAUUUAAUCGCGACCGUCUGAUCGUGCCGGAAGAGUUAACGAAUCUGGAUCGUCCACGCGUGCGGGAAUAAAUCCGGACCAUUCGAUCGCGGGCAUGCAGAUUGCCAACGUGGCCUCCCGCGCGGCACCGAGUCAGCGUGCCUUACCAUGCGGCCCGCUCCGGUUCGUCGAGGCUGCUGACUGGGCGGUUUUAUGUGGUAUAUUUUUCUUAAAUUACGUUUUGACAUCCAGUUUCUGAUUUUUCUUUUAAAAAUACCCUCAGAACCCAAAUUUUCACCCAUUUUU